Molecule: long non-coding RNA, 625 nt
Organism: Talpa occidentalis (Iberian mole)
Lineage: Eukaryota; Metazoa; Chordata; Mammalia; Eulipotyphla; Talpidae
Exons: 3
Source: RefSeq, a predicted model, not a curated record
CAGGGUCCCCGCCAGCCUCUACCUCUCUGGCUGUCAGCGGUGGGCGCUGCCUGGGGGCGGUGGUCCCGGGAGCCUGAGAGCGUCCACCCUCAUGCAAGCAGGCGCUGGGAAGUGCCUGACCUCUGCCAGGCGCUGUCCUCCACACCGCCCAAGCUCCCCAACCGCGCCCAGCCUCAGUUUCCCCAUCUGGUCACCAGGGAUUAGCCGCGUCCUCCACAACAGGCAGACUGUGCUCGGCACUCAGCUGACUUCCUGUCCCGGGAGCGGCUGCGGGUCUGCAGGAGCAGGGCGGCCCCUUCCUGUGGUUCAGAACUGUGAGAACAUCAAUGUCUGUUGUUUCAAACACCCGCCCUGGUUCUUUGUGACGGCCGCCCUGGGAAAUUCCUGUAAGCCCAAAUGUCAAGCAGAGGGCAGCUGAGGAAAACAAGAAGGAAAUACACAGAAAGCAAGACUUGGAAGAGACUGAGGAGGCAGGAAGGAAGCUUCCUCCACGUCUUCCUCUCCCCUGGACGGGAGCCGCUGGAUGAGUGACCGAGACUGGCCAGGCCAUGCUCCUCCCAGCCAGAGCGUGUGAGGUUGGGUGUCCGGGGCACGGGGCAGGGAGACCCCGCUGAUAAUAAUAAAC